UCCGUAGGUGAACCUGCGGAAGGAUCAUUACCGAGUUCAUGCCCUCACGGGUAGACCUCCCACCCUUUGUAUACCUUACCUUUUGUUGCUUUGGCGGGCCGCCUAGCUACUGGCUUCGGCUGGUAAGUGCCCGCCAGAGAACCCCAAACCCAAACCAUUUAUAGUGUCGUCUGAGAAACAAGUUUAAUAUUUAAAACUUUCAACAACGGAUCUCUUGGCUCUGGCAUCGAUGAAGAACGCAGCGAAAUGCGAUAAGUAAUGUGAAUUGCAGAAUUCAGUGAAUCAUCGAAUCUUUGAACGCACAUUGCGCCCCUUGGUAUUCCGAGGGGCAUGCCUAUUCGAGCGUCAUUAUCACCCCUCAAGCUCCGGCUUGGUGUUGAGGCCUGCCGUCAAGGCACCCUCUAAAAUCAGUGGCAGUGCCGUCAGGCUCUAAGCGUAGUAAUUUCAUCGCUAUAGACCCGGGUGGACCUCGCCAGAACCCCCAUUUUUCAAUUUUAGAUUGACCUCGGAUUAGGUAGGGAUACCCGCUGAACUUAAGCAUAUCAAUAAGCGGAGGGAAGUCGGACUGGCCAAGGGGCACACCAGGGGGGGGGAUA
This 596-nucleotide ribosomal RNA is filed under the name uncultured fungus. Its description in RNAcentral is "eukaryotic LSU rRNA". The stretch from base 195 to 348 matches the Rfam family "5.8S ribosomal RNA". The record is from RNAcentral. Lineage: Eukaryota; Fungi.